Molecule: long non-coding RNA, 1006 nt
Filed under: Apteryx haastii (Great spotted kiwi)
Lineage: Eukaryota; Metazoa; Chordata; Aves; Apterygiformes; Apterygidae
Description: lncRNA (ENSAHAG00000003611.1)
Source: RNAcentral
AUGUCUUCGCGCAGCCUUCAGACGUGCACAGGGCAAAGCUGCCUGUGCAGGAGGGAGCAGUGGCUCCGCAGUCUGGGGCUCAGCGUGAGCAGAAGCUGGAGGCCUGCAGGACACGGUGCAGCGCUGGGGAAGGAGAGGGCCCAGCGUGCCGAGGAGCUCCUGGCGUCGCGGGCUGGCAGCCCUGCCCCGAUGCCUCUUCGCAAAGGGCCCGUCUCGUGCCCGGGGUGAUCCCAUGCCCUUGCUGCGCAGGCUGAGACGCUGGGGGCUCAACUGCUACAUGUACGCRCCCAAGGACGAGCUGAAGCACCGGCUGCUCUGGCGAGAGCCCUACACGGAGCAUGAGCCCAGCUGCAGUCCCUCAUCGCAGCCGCCCGCGAGCAYGGCGUGGAGUUUAUUUUUGCCAUUUCUGCGGGCCAGGACAUGGUGUUUUCCAGCGGUGGGGAUCGGCUCCUGCUGCAGCAAAAACUCAGGUGGCCGCGGCCGGAUGCCGCUCCUUCGCGCUGCUCUUCGACGACGUCGAUCCCCGCAUGUGCCGAGCGGACAGAGACGUCUUCGCCUCCCUGGCGCAGGCGCAGGCCUCCGUGGCCAACGAGAUGUACCGGGAGCUGGGCCAGCCUUCGGUCUUCCUCUUCUGCCCCACGGGUACCUUCCGCAGCGGCGCGGCCCCCGUCCCGUCCUCGGGGCCGGGACACCCCGCGCCACACCGGGGUGCCCUCAGCUGGGUGCACCCAGCACGUGUGCCCCGAGACCUUGCUGCCCUGGCAGCCCGCCGCUCCCCCGGGGUCCCCACGCUCCCAGGGGCACUUUGCAGCAGCCCUGGAGAUCUCAGGGCUGGGACAGGAGCAGGCUGCAGAGGGGCCAGUGCUUCCGCAGCUGCACACGCCGUACUGUCUGCACCGCACAUCUCCCUGUCUCCUAUCCGGCCCUUCCUCCCCCCCCCCGGCAGCACGGCGCCCCUGCCCUCAGGGGAUGCUCUGCGCUCACUCCCCAGAGUACUGCAGCUCUC